Molecule: ribosomal RNA, 491 nt
Filed under: uncultured bacterium
Lineage: Bacteria
Description: bacterial SSU rRNA
Rfam family: Bacterial small subunit ribosomal RNA
Source: RNAcentral
CGCUAGCGACAGGCCUAACACAUGCAAGUCGAGGGGCAGCACAAGGAGCAAUCUGAGGUGGCGACCGGCGCACGGGUGAGUAACACGUAUGCAACCUGCCUGUAAGCGGGGAAUAACCCGUUGAAAGACGGACUAAUACCGCAUAAUACUAAAUUACUGCAUGGUAAUUUAUUUAAACAUUUAUGGCUUACAGAUGGGCAUGCGCAUGAUUAGCUAGUUGGAGAGGUAACGGCUCCCCAAGGCAACGAUCAUUAGGGGUUCUGAGAGGAAGGUCCCCCCACACUGGUACUGAGACACGGACCAGACUCCUACGGGAGGCAGCAGUGAGGAAUAUUGGUCAAUGGACGAGAGUCUGAACCAGCCAAGUCGCGUGCAGGAAGAAUUGUCCUAUGGAUUGUAAACUGCUUUUGCAGGGGAAUAAAGUGCAUCACGUGUGAUGUUUUGUAUGUACUCUGCGAAUAAGGAUCGGCUAACUCCGUGCCAGCCGCGGC